Delphinapterus leucas (beluga whale) is the source of this 4845-nucleotide non-coding RNA. The record is from RefSeq and is a predicted model, not a curated record. NCBI's taxonomy places the organism in Eukaryota, Metazoa, Chordata, Mammalia, Artiodactyla, Monodontidae.
ACAGGCGUUUGAGCUUACGGGUCCAGCCGCGUCCAGGCAGGAGGGAAGACGUAGAGGGGCACGCGUCUGCCGCAGGAAACACGGGGUCCAGAGUCCCACUUACGAGUGAGGCGUUCCCACGAGUUAGUCUGUGGCUUUGGGGAACGCUCUUUCCUGGGCCUCAGUUUCCCCAUCUGUAAAACCGGAGUAAAUCGCGCAGAGUUGGGAUGGGAAUUAAACGAGGUCCCGCGCGCUCCGAGGGCGAGAAAGACCGGCGGCUCCCUUCGCGCCGAGGGCAGGACGGCGGCGGCCGCAUCACCGGGCAGUCUCCCGACUCGCCAGGUGUGGGCUCAGCCCUCCGCUCCCUGCCUUCCUCCCCUCCUUCCUCCCCGAAGUAGGCUGGGGGCGAGGAGCGACGGGCUCUGCCAGGCACUGGCGCCUCCCGCGCGGGCGCCCCGGGUGUCCGCCCCGCGCUCCGCUGGCACCCGGAGGUGCCCGGCGCUCCUGGAGCUGGGCGCGGCGCGGCGCGGUCCUCGUGACCCGGCAGACGCCUCCGGGACCUCGCCCCUCCCUCCUGGCUGUGCGCCCUGCGCCCUGUCUGGCCCGUAUUUGCCCUCCUGGCCUCAACGCACCGCGACCCGACGCCCGGCCCGUCGCCUUGCUCUCCCUAGCAGGACUGCAGAGAGCAACCCCGGGGUCCGGGCCAGGGCAGACACGCCCCCGGAAAGGAGUCGGUGUGACCCCGACGAGAAGCAGAGAUGGGGAAAAAACUGGAUCUUUCCACGCUCACGGAUGAAGAGGCCAAGCACGUCUGGGAAGUGGUUCAACGGGACUUUGACCUUCGAAGGAAAGAAGAGGAGAGACUAGAGGGUUUGAAAGGCAAGAUUAAGAAGGAAAACUCCAAGAGGGAGCUGCUUUCGGACACGGCCCACCUGAGUAGCACCCACUGCGCCCGCUGCCUGCAGCCCUACCGGCUCCUCGAGACCCCCAAGAGGCAAUGCCUGGACUGCGGCCUCUUCACCUGCAAAGGCUGCGGCCACAACCCGGAGGAGCAGGGCUGGCUCUGCGACCCCUGCCACCUGGCCAGGCUGGUGAAGAGGGGCUCCCUGGAGUGGUACUACAGGCAUGUGAGAGCCCGCUUCCAGCACUCCGGGGGGGCCCAGGUAGCGCGGUCCCUCUGCGGGAGGCUGCAGGGAGCAGGUUUACCUGACCAAGUGCUGAGCUCACCUGACGUCAACAGUGGGCCUGAGCCAGGCCCCGGAGGGAGAAGUGGAGACAGCAAGCACACGGAUGAGGACAGAGAACAGGACACAGGGGCCCAGGCCCAGCCCGUUGGAAGCAAAAAAAAGCGCGUCCUCCCCAUUCACGGCUUGGACUUCGAGGCAGACUCUGACGACUCCACUCCGUCCUGCGGGCACCCCUCAAGCCUGUCCUUGGUCUCUGUGGCCGCGGACAACCCGCAGGCCCUCACAGAUGAGCCCUGCACAGAGACCACCUCCCAGGAGCCCGUGGUCCUGGAUGAGGCUGACGCCAGGGCCUCUGGGUGCCACCCCUGUCCAGAAGGGCAGAUGGCCAGCCUCUCGCCUGCCGGACCAGACGCCCUUGCUAAGCUCUGCCUGCCGGGAGAGUCUUGCAUGACAGCCCCGGGGACCACUGCAACACCUGGAACAAAUGUCCUCUGGAAUGAGCAGCUCCCAUCCCACUAUCUGGCCGACGUGGACACCUCAGAUGAAGAAAGCAUCUGGGCUCAGCGGGUGGCCUCUCACCAUCCCAGACGGAGAAGCCAGACCUUGUCUGAGAAGCAGCGCUUCCACGUGACCGACCGGCUGAGAUCAGCCACUCGUCCAUCUCAGUGUCCAGUUGGCAGCAAGCCCACAGGUGCCGACAUGGAAGAGGCGGCCCUAAAGAGAAGACUGGAGGCCUUGAUCAGCCGCACCGGUGACCAGCGGGCCUCAUCCGAGGAGGAGGGCAAGGACGGAGGGGCAGAGCAGGGCAGCAGCGCCCCCAUCGAGGACCCCCCCAGGGCCGCCCCGGAGGUGUGCACGGCUGCAGGCCAAACGCCCAGCAGGACCACAGACGAGGAGCUGUCGCAGCUGGAGGACAGAGUGGCCGCCACGGCCUCUCAGGUGCAGCGGACAGAGAGCGAGGUUUCAGAUAUCGAGUACAGGAUUGCAGCCUUGCAGGCUGCAGGGCUCACUGUGAGGACCUCGGCAAAGCCCCGGAAGAAAUCCAGCCUCCCGAUAUUUCUUCCCCAGCUUGUUGGGAAGUUGGGCCAGAGUCCUAAGGAUCUGAAUGCAGACCCUUCGGAUGAGGUCAAGGUGGUGGCUGCACCCUAUCUUGUGAGGAGAAAGCUCAGUGAUUACCCCAGAAGUCAAGACAAAGAUGAUGACUCCUUCGAUCGGAAGUCCGUGUCCCGCGGAUCCCUGACACAGAGAAACCCCAGUGGCAAGAAGGGAACCGCCAGCCACAGCAUUGCACCGGUGAGGGCCGGUGUCAUUGACCCAUAGCUGGGGAAACAGGCAGAAAGAGAUUGAGUAAGAAAAACCUGGCAGGGGGUUGACUGAUGCCUCCUGACCAGCAAGCCCACAAGCCCGUGAUGACCCACCAGCCCUUAAACGGGAGGUUCGUCUGAACGGGACAGAGCAGGAGUGGCGCCGGUCCUUUCCCUCCACCUCGGCCUCCGUGUCCCUCCACCUGCCCCGCGUUUUCCAAUGCACGCAGCCCAGUGGAGGAACGAGAAGAAACCCCAUCCGUGAGCUGACAGCGGUUCUCAUGAGGCCCGUCAGCUCUUCACCCACGUUCUUUGAUGACCUCCAAGGCCGCCCCUGCCCACCUGAUCUGAUCCGUGAGAAACAUCUAAGCUGACGCGUCUUUCCUUUAGGGUUUAAGCUUUCUGAAGGACACAAAGAAGCUCUUGUUCAGUGAUCUUCUACCCCUUUCACUGCUGGCUUUCUUAUGCUGCUUUCAUGACCAGAAUGGAAAAGGGGUGACUCAGUGACCGCACCAGCCAUCUGUACACUCCUGACUGUGUCUGUCGGAGCCAGGGCAGGUGUGUGGGUGCUACUGGACGUCAGGACAAGUCACUGAGCUCAUGUCCAUCUGAAUAAGAGGGAGGGAUAGACCCCCGCAUCUCCUCACACAAACAGACCUAGUCUGCAAGUUCCCAGCCUGUGCUUCACAGGCUGGGAGAAGGGACACCGUGGUCGAGGACAGAGCAUGCCAGCGGCAGCAAGUGAGCACUUGCUCAAAGCCCGGGUGCAGGUGCAGACCGCCUGCCGGGAGGCACUGGCGGAGUCUGGACGGGCGGGGCCCAGCCUGGCACUGCCACUCGCUGCGGUGGAAUCCAGGAGGCCACUUGCCGUCGGUCUGCAGAGGAUCUCCAAGUCCUGCUCAGCCUCGGACAGUCUGGGUGUCUGUGUGGCUCAUCCAGCUUGAAGGGGAGCCCGCUGGGACCCCCUCCACAGCUGCCUUGAGCACAGUAACCCUGUCUCCCCUCGCUGAGCACGGCUGUGUGCUUCAGAGGGACUGGCUUAUUGAGUCCUCAGAACAGCGCAUUUUGCAGAGGAGGGAACAGAGCCCCGAGUGUGAGGCAGCCUCCCCUGUGAUCCUCUGAUACGUUCCAGAGGGGCUGGGUCAGCUUUAAGUUUGCUCUCUCAAGUGGUUUGGUGUCUGUGUUCUGUGGUAACUGAAAGAAGAGGUGAAUAAAUGAUGCCCAAGAGGCUUUGAUACGAAGACUGACUGUGGACACAGCCCCACCUAUGGUUUACAGACUCUGCAUCACGAGCUCCAUUCGCGUUUCCACUGAGCCUAUAGCAUCACGGUCACCACAGAGACCGUGUCAUCGACGGGCUGGCCCAUGGCAGCUCCAGUGCGCUUUUCAGAAUCAGCAUCUGAGUUGAUCUGAAUGACUAGGCUUCAGGUUGUGCUGGGAUUUGCAGAAAAGAUGGCUCCGAAACUCCCUCUCAGAAUGAAAGCUGCUUGAAAUAGUCAGCUCCUAAUUCAACGCUGAAAAUGAUUAAAGGAUUCCAGUAAGCCAAAGAGGAUCAAUCCUUGUUUCCGUACACCCCUCCUUAUUCACAGAGUAAACUAAAGUCAGUGUGAGUUCCUAGCGUCAAGGAAGAAGCAGUCCCGGCUGGCCUGCAGCACAGCCCUGGGUGUGAUGCAACAGGCACGUGAGGCCUUGUGCCCCAGAACCUUAGUGGCCACUUAGCUCCGUUGCUAACUUGAGUUCAGAGAGCUUCCAACCUGGAAGCACAUUUGUCCCUCCUUCAGAAGGCCUCUCGCUGGGGUCUCCGAUUAGGGUCAGGGCUACACUCACUCUUUCAUUCUCUCGGCAGCACUGCAGAGGCCCCGGACGGUGUGCAUGGCCCAGGCACCUGCACCCAUCUUGUGGGCAGCGGCCGCGGUGCCGAGGAUGUGAAUUCUCCCAGCUCCUGCGCUGGUUCCUCAGCCCCUCUCGGCCCCUUGAUGUCGAAUCUCCUUUCCAUCCCCAUCAGGUCCCACGGCUUUAGGCACCUGUGGCUGGAUUGCAGUCCAGACCCCCCGAGGUCCCCACCACAGACCAGCUGCCUCUUCCUCUGGCAUCUCAAAGUCAGCCCAUCCUACUGAACUCCCAUCUUACCCCCAAACCCUGCUGCAUCCACUCAGGUCAACUCCGUGCUCCCAGGGGCUCCGGCCAAGGCUUUACCCUCUCUUUAACCUCACAUUCUGUCGGGAAAAGCUGGCGACUCUGACUUCUGCGUAUGCCCCAACCCUUCCGUCCCAUCAGCGGCUGUGUCCCUUAUUUGGGGUAUAUUUUUAUGCCAAAUGUCCGCUCGGUUAUUUCCAGGAUGUCAGACCUGGCUUCACAUGCCUCGUACCCCCUGU